Molecule: transfer RNA, 110 nt
Filed under: Pseudomonadota bacterium
Lineage: Bacteria; Pseudomonadati; Pseudomonadota
Description: Proteobacteria bacterium tRNA-Val
Source: RNAcentral
GGCGGAGACAAGCGGAUUAUGGCCGAUGCGCGAAUAUCAUGGACCGUCCUGAUCCACCUAGUUUCUUGCUUUACACGCAGGAGGCCGGCGGUUCGAUCCCGUCACCGCCC